Molecule: long non-coding RNA, 369 nt
Filed under: Nicotiana tabacum (common tobacco)
Lineage: Eukaryota; Viridiplantae; Streptophyta; Magnoliopsida; Solanales; Solanaceae
Description: long non-coding RNA (NTAB_LNC000693)
Source: RNAcentral
GGAGGAACACCACCUGCAAACUGUGGUAAUCCCGCCCCUAGUGGCGGGCAUCACCACAACCCUACCCCAUCGCCUCCUUCAGGAGGCCAUGGAGGUGGUGGUUACUAUCCCUCCCCUCCAUCUCAUAGUGGAAGCCCUCCAAGUACUCCUACACCUACACCUAGUACCCCCAGUACACCAUCCACCCCCUCCACACCUACUAUUGUCACCCCGCCUACACCUCCUACCAUUGACCCUGGCACUCCAAGCACUCCAGGGGGUGGUUACUAUGGUGGAAGUCCUCCAAGUAUUCCUACACCUAGUACCCCUAGUAUUACACCCACUACCCCUUCUACACCUAUCAUUGAAACACCACCAACUACUCCUGUC